RNAcentral lists this ribosomal RNA (690 nucleotides) under uncultured Acidobacteriota bacterium. RNAcentral describes it as "bacterial SSU rRNA". It matches the Rfam family "Bacterial small subunit ribosomal RNA", at positions 15 to 719 of the family's 1533-position model. Lineage: Bacteria; Pseudomonadati; Acidobacteriota. The record is from RNAcentral.
GAUCCUGGCUCAGAAUCAACGCUGGCGGCGUGCCUCAGACAUGCAAGUCGAACGAUUAAGACUUCCUUCGGGAAGUGUAUAAAGUGGCGCACGGGUGAGUAACACGUAAGUAAUCUACCUUCGAGUGGGGAAUAACGUCCGGAAACGGACGCUAAUACCGCAUAAUGCAGCGGCAUCGUAAGAUGACAGUUGUUAAAGAUUUAUCGCUUGAAGAGGAGCUUGCGGCAGAUUAGCUAGUUGGUAAGGUAAUGGCUUACCAAGGCUACGAUCUGUAACCGGUCUAAGAGGACGGUCGGUCACACUGACACUGAAUAACGGGUCAGACUCCUACGGGAGGCAGCAGUCGGGAAUUUUGGGCAAUGGGCGAAAGCCUGACCCAGCAACGCCGCGUGAAGGAUGAAGUAUUUCGGUAUGUAAACUUCGAAAGAAUGGGAAGAAUAAAUGACGGUACCAUUUAUAAGCUCCGGCUAACUACGUGCCAGCAGCCGCGGUAAUACGUAGGGAGCAAGCGUUGUUCGGAUUUACUGGGCGUAAAGGGCGCGUAGGCGGCAAUUCAAGUCAUCUGUGAAAUCUCCGGGCUUAACUCGGAACGGUCAGAUGAUACUGUCUUGCUAGAGUGCAGAAGGGGCAAUCGGAAUUCUUGGUGUAGCGGUGAAAUGCGUAGAUAUCAAGAGGAACACCUGAGGUGAA